RNAcentral lists this ribosomal RNA (1393 nucleotides) under uncultured organism. Its description in RNAcentral is "16S ribosomal RNA". It matches the Rfam family "Bacterial small subunit ribosomal RNA". The record is from RNAcentral.
GCUCAGAACGAACGCUGGCGGCGUGGUUGAUACAUGCAAGUCGAACGGGAAAGAUUCCUUCGGGAAUCGAGUAUAGUGGCGGACGGGUGAGUAACACGUGAUCAACGUACCCUAAGGACUGGGAUAGCCAUCCGAAAGGAUGUGUAAUACCAGAUAAGACCACAGUACCGCAUGGUACAGUGGUAAAAGAAUCCACCUUGGGAGCGGAUCGCGGACUAUCAGCUAGUUGGUGAGGUAACGGCUCACCAAGGCUAUGACGGUUAGCCGGCCUGAGAGGGUGAACGGCCACACUGGAACUGAGACACGGUCCAGACUCCUACGGGAGGCAGCAGUGCUGAAUCAUUCACAAUGAGCGCAAGCUUGAUGAUGCGACGCCGCGUGGAGGAUGAAGGCCUUCGGGUUGUAAACUCCUGUCAGGGAUUAGGAAUUUUGACCAAUCCCAGAGGAAGCACCGGCUAAAUUCGUGCCAGCAGCCGCGGUAAUACGAAUGGUGCGAGCGUUGUUCGGAAUCGCUGGGCAUAAAGGGUGCGUAGGUGGUUAUGUAAGUCAGAUGUGAAAGCCCUCGGCUCAACCGGGGAAUUGCAUCUGAUACUGCAUAACUUGAGUUUAUGAGGGGUGAGCGGAAUUCCAGGUGUAGCGGUGAAAUGCGUAGAUAUCUGGGAGAACGCCAACGGCGAAGGCAGCUCACUGGCGUAAAACUGACACUGAGGCACGAAAGCGUGGGGAGCAAACCACGAUUAGAUACCCUGGUAGUCCAUGCUGUAAACCGAUGGAUACUUUGUGGAGGGGGUUUGACGCCCUCUCUGCCGGAGCAAAUGCGUUAAGUAUCCCGCCUGGGGAGUAUGGUCGACAGGCUUAAACUCAAAGGAAUUGACCGGGGCUCACACAAGCGGUGGAGGAUGUUGUUUAUUUCGAAGCAACGCGAAGAACCCUUCCCGGGACUUGAAUGUUCGUUCCAAUCCUGAACGGUGCGAAUCUGCGUCAAACCAGAAGCUAAAACAGGUGCUGCAUGGCCGUUGUCAGCUCGUGUCGUGAGAUGUUGGGUUAAAGUCCCAUAACGAACGAAACCCCUAUCGUCUGUUGCUACCAGUUUAAUGCUGGGCACUCUGGCGAGACUGCCGGUGUUAAACCGGAGGAAGGUGGGGACGACGUCAAGUCAUCAUGGUCCUUACGUCCGGGGCUACAAACGUCCUACAAUGGCUGGUACAAAGAGAAGCAAUACCGCGAGGUGGAGCAAAUCUCUAAAGCCAGCCCUAGUUCAGAUUGGAGGCUGAAAUUCGCCUCCAUGAAGCCGGAAUCGCUAGUAACCGGAGAUCAGCCAUGCUCCGGUGAAUAUGUUCCUGAGCAUUGUACACACCGCCCGUCAAGCCACCCAAGUUGAAGCACCCGAAGU